RNAcentral lists this ribosomal RNA (427 nucleotides) under uncultured bacterium. RNAcentral's name for it is "bacterial SSU rRNA". It matches the Rfam family "Bacterial small subunit ribosomal RNA", at positions 355 to 774 of the family's 1533-position model. The record is from RNAcentral.
CGGGGAAUUUUGGACAAUGGACGCAAGUCUGAUCCAGCCAUGCCGCGUGCGGGAAGAAGGCCUUCGGGUUGUAAACCGCUUUUGUCAGGGAAGAAACGAGUUUCUCUAAUACAGAGACUUAAUGACGGUACCUGAGGAAUAAGCACCGGCUAACUACGUGCCAGCAGCCGCGGUAAUACGUAGGGUGCAAGCGUUAAUCGGAAUUACUGGGCGUAAAGCGUGCGCAGGCGGUGACGUAAGACAGAUGUGAAAUCCCCGGGCUCAACCUGGGACCUGCAUUUGUGACUGUAUAGCUAGAGUACGGUAGAGGGGGAUGGAAUUCCGCGUGUAGCAGUGAAAUGCGUAGAUAUGCGGAGGAACACCGAUGGCGAAGGCAAUCCCCUGGACCUGUACUGACGCUCAUGCACGAAAGCGUGGGGAGCAAACA